Esox lucius (northern pike) is the source of this 710-nucleotide long non-coding RNA. RefSeq lists it as uncharacterized. The record is from RefSeq and is a predicted model, not a curated record. The transcript is spliced from 3 exons. Lineage: Eukaryota; Metazoa; Chordata; Actinopteri; Esociformes; Esocidae.
UUCAUUGUGCAGGAUUGUUCGGUGCAUUUGACAAAUAAACGUUUAAACUUAAUUUGCUAUCGUAUUCUAGUUUUUUGUCCAAAUCAACUAGCAGGCUACAAAUAUAUUAAUUACUGUUAAAUCAUGUCUUUUGUAGAUAACUAAACACACAAGUGUGUUCCAAGCACUUUACAGUAGAAAGCUUUGUGAAAACACUGUGAAAACACUGACCGGAGUGGUGAAGUUGAAGAAGGGUUCAGUUCCAUCACUGUUUUCUUGGAGCCAACUUCAAGAAUCAAGGAAUACAAGGAGAUCUACUGGUGACCACAUCAGUGAAAUAAAGGAAAAACACAAGCUUGAAUCAAGGUUCUUGAUGCUGUAUCCGGAUCAUGAUUACGCUGUGACGCCUCUGACUUCGGAGAGCCAACUUGAGGCAGCACAGAAGAUUUCUUAGCUUAGUCUGGAUAACAAUACAUUAGGAGCCAGCAAUUUCUACUUCAGCGUUUCCAGUGUGACUCCGAGCUAAUCUUCUUCUACACUGGUUUCAAGGGCUAUGACACCCUUAGGGCUGUCUACCUGUCCCCACAGCCAACAGACGAGUGCAUGCUGAGAUGGAGUCAGGUAGAGGUUGACUGGUGCCUGCAAAAGCACACAGAGAUCUGGAUUUAGAGCACCAUACUUGUGCCUCAUAAACAAGCUCUUCAUGGUUCUGUGCCGUGUGAGGCGCAGGA